GCUUCCCUCUAAUAAAAAAUGCAAGGGAAAAAAUCCACAUAAGAAUGGAAAACACUUUACAUUCAAAAUAUUUUGGCAUUUGAAGACAUUUCGGUUUUAUGACAUUUUUGGAGGCUUGAUCACAGAGAAGGGCAAGUCUUGGUUUUGGCCCAUAGAGCGGCAGCACACUUCUGUUCCAGUUUAUUUUUAGACUAGCUAAUGUUUUCCCCAUCUGGAGAGCAGAAAUAUGGACUGUAUUGACUCCAUUCUUUUAUGAGAUUCCCCAAUCACCAAUCAAAAGAGCGACGUGAGGAACCAGGAUGUUCAGCAGAACUGGGCUGGCGGCUACUGCUUCUUGCAAGAGUUUCAUUCAGCUCUUUAACUCUUGAGAUCUUUCUUUUGGCAGUUCUCAUUUUUAUGAAAGCUUGUAUACAGUGACAUCAUCAUCUAUUACUAUGGCGGAUAAUGUUGAGAGCAAGUAAAGUUGACACGAGAUCACCCCUUUCCAGAAGGAAUGAAGAAGGUACAUCCUUUUUGCCCUCCCUUCAGCAGCUGCCACUGUUUACCAGUCUAUAGCAGCUGGUCCAUGGAGAGAUCUUCAGGGAUUCUUGACUGACAUGUUACCUUGGUGUUUGAAUUCAUGGGAUCAUGAAAGCAGGAUUGAAUUACUGUUCUGUAAGAAAUGACCAACAGGAUGAUUUCAGAGAGGCCUGGAGAGAUUUAUAUGAA
Molecule: long non-coding RNA, 708 nt
Organism: Sarcophilus harrisii (Tasmanian devil)
Lineage: Eukaryota; Metazoa; Chordata; Mammalia; Dasyuromorphia; Dasyuridae
Exons: 4
Source: RefSeq, a predicted model, not a curated record